RNAcentral lists this ribosomal RNA (119 nucleotides) under Triticum aestivum (bread wheat). The record is from RNAcentral. Lineage: Eukaryota; Viridiplantae; Streptophyta; Magnoliopsida; Poales; Poaceae.
GGAUGCGAUCAUACCAGCACUAAAGCACCGGAUCCCAUCAGCACUCCGAAGUUAAGCGUGCUUGCGCGAGAGUAGUACUAGGAUGGGUUCCCUCCUGGGAAGUCCUCGUGUUGCAUUCC